CGAGGAAUUUUGCGCAAUGGGCGAAAGCCUGACGCAGCAACGCCGCGUGGGUGAGGAAGGCCUUCGGGUCGUAAAGCCCUUUUGUCGGGGACGAAGUGGUGACGGUACCCGACGAAGAAGCCACGGCUAACUACGUGCCAGCAGCCGCGGUAAUACGUAGGUGGCGAGCGUUGUCCGGAUUUAUUGGGCGUAAAGCGCGCGCAGGCGGUGCGGUAAGUCCGUCGUGAAAUCUCCCGGCUCAACUGGGAGGGUGCGGUGGAGACUGCCGGACUGGAGGCACUCAGAGGCCGGUGGAAUUCCCGGUGUAGUGGUGAAAUGCGUAGAGAUCGGGAGGAACACCAGUGGCGAAGGCGGCCGGCUGGGGGUGACCUGACGCUGAGGCGCGAAAGCGUGGGGAGCGAACCG
This 405-nucleotide ribosomal RNA is filed under the name uncultured bacterium. RNAcentral's name for it is "bacterial SSU rRNA". It matches the Rfam family "Bacterial small subunit ribosomal RNA", at positions 355 to 775 of the family's 1533-position model. The record is from RNAcentral.